Molecule: unclassified non-coding RNA, 358 nt
Filed under: soil metagenome
Description: partial contains 5.8S ribosomal RNA, internal transcribed spacer 2, and large subunit ribosomal RNA
Rfam family: 5.8S ribosomal RNA (bases 1-120)
Source: RNAcentral
GAUGAAGAACGCAGUGAAAUGCGAUAAGUAAUGUGAAUUGCAGAAUUCAGUGAAUCAUCGAAUCUUUGAACGCACAUUGCGCCCGUCAGUAUUCUGGCGGGCAUGCCUGUUCGAGCGUCAUUACGCCCCUCAAGUCCCCUGUGGACUUGGUGUUGGGGAUCGGCGAGGCUGCUUUUCCAGCACAGCCGUCCCUUAAAUUAAUUGGCGGUCUCGCCGUGGCCCUCCUCUGCGCAGUAGUAAAACACUCGCAACAGGAGCCCGGCGCGGUCCACUGCCGUAAAACCCCCCAACUUUUUAUAGUUGACCUCGAAUCAGGUAGGACUACCCGCUGAACUUAAGCAUAUCAAUAAGCGGAGGA